AGUGAACGCUGGCGGUAGGACUAACACAUGCAAGUCGAACGAGUGGCGGACGGGUGAGUAAUGUCUGGGACACUGCCCGAUGGAUGGGGAUAACUACUGGAAACGGUAGCUAAUACCGCCUACCAUCGCAAGUGCCCAGAUGGGAUGAGCUUGUCGGUGAGGUAACGGCUAACCUAGCCGACGAUCCCUAGCGGGUCUGAGAGGAUGACCAGCCAAACUGGAACUGAGACACGGUCCAGACUCCGACGGGAGGCAGCAGUGGGGAAUAUUGCACAAUGGGCGCAAGCCUGAUGCAGCCAUGCCGCGUGUAUGAAGAAGGCCUUCGGGUUGUAAAGUACUUUCAGCGGGGAGGCGUUACCCGCAGAAGAAGCACCGGCGAACUCCGGGCCAGCAGCCGCGGUAAUAC
RNAcentral lists this ribosomal RNA (406 nucleotides) under uncultured bacterium. RNAcentral describes it as "partial 16S ribosomal RNA". It matches the Rfam family "Bacterial small subunit ribosomal RNA", at positions 29 to 526 of the family's 1533-position model. The record is from RNAcentral.